This 560-nucleotide ribosomal RNA is filed under the name Clostridium botulinum C. RNAcentral's name for it is "bacterial SSU rRNA". It matches the Rfam family "Bacterial small subunit ribosomal RNA", at positions 978 to 1533 of the family's 1533-position model. The record is from RNAcentral. Lineage: Bacteria; Bacillati; Bacillota; Clostridia; Eubacteriales; Clostridiaceae.
GACUUGACAUCUCCUGAAUUACUCUUAAUCGAGGAAGUCCCUUCGGGGACAGGAAGACAGGUGGUGCAUGGUUGUCGUCAGCUCGUGUCGUGAGAUGUUGGGUUAAGUCCCGCAACGAGCGCAACCCUUAUUGUUAGUUGCUACUAUUAAGUUAAGCACUCUAACGAGACUGCCGCGGUUAACGUGGAGGAAGGUGGGGAUGACGUCAAAUCAUCAUGCCCCUUAUGUCUAGGGCUACACACGUGCUACAAUGGCUGGUACAACGAGCAGCAAACCCGCGAGGGGGAGCAAAACUUGAAAGCCAGUCCCAGUUCGGAUUGUAGGCUGAAACUCGCCUACAUGAAGUUGGAGUUGCUAGUAAUCGCGAAUCAGCAUGUCGCGGUGAAUACGUUCCCGGGUCUUGUACACACCGCCCGUCACACCAUGAGAGCCGGUAACACCCGAAGCCCGUGAGGUAACCGUAAGGAGCCAGCGGUCGAAGGUGGGAUUGGUGAUUGGGGUGAAGUCGUAACUAGGUAGCCGUAGGAGAACCUGCGGCUGGAUCACCUCCUUUCUAGGGA